RNAcentral lists this ribosomal RNA (235 nucleotides) under uncultured bacterium. RNAcentral describes it as "partial 16S ribosomal RNA". It matches the Rfam family "Bacterial small subunit ribosomal RNA", at positions 1270 to 1500 of the family's 1533-position model. The record is from RNAcentral.
GAUCUCUUAAAGCNGUUCUCAGUUCGGACUGCAGUCUGCAACUCGACUGCACGAAGCUGGAAUCGCUAGUAAUCGCGGAUCAGCACGCCGCGGUGAAUACGUUCCCGGGCCUUGUACACACCGCCCGUCACACCAUGGAAGUCUGCAAUGCCCGAAGCCGGUGGCCUAACCACUUAUGUGGAAGGAGCCGUCUAAGGCAGGGCAGAUGACUGGGGUGAAGUCGUAACAAGGUAAC